This 2893-nucleotide ribosomal RNA is filed under the name human gut metagenome. Its description in RNAcentral is "bacterial LSU rRNA". It matches the Rfam family "Bacterial large subunit ribosomal RNA". The record is from RNAcentral.
ACUAAGCGUACACGGUGGAUGCCCUGGCAGUCAGAGGCGAUGAAGGACGUGCUAAUCUGCGAUAAGCGUCGGUAAGGUGAUAUGAACCGUUAUAACCGGCGAUUUCCGAAUGGGGAAACCCAGUGUGUUUCGACACACUAUCAUUAACUGAAUCCAUAGGUUAAUGAGGCGAACCGGGGGAACUGAAACAUCUAAGUACCCCGAGGAAAAGAAAUCAACCGAGAUUCCCCCAGUAGCGGCGAGCGAACGGGGAGCAGCCCAGAGCCUGAAUCAGUGUGUGUGUUAGUGGAAGCGUCUGGAAAGGCGCGCGAUACAGGGUGACAGCCCCGUACACAAAAAUGCACAUGCUGUGAGCUCGAUGAGUAGGGCGGGACACGUGGUAUCCUGUCUGAAUAUGGGGGGACCAUCCUCCAAGGCUAAAUACUCCUGACUGACCGAUAGUGAACCAGUACCGUGAGGGAAAGGCGAAAAGAACCCCGGCGAGGGGAGUGAAAAAGAACCUGAAACCGUGUACGUACAAGCAGUGGGAGCACGCUUAGGCGUGUGACUGCGUACCUUUUGUAUAAUGGGUCAGCGACUUAUAUUCUGUAGCAAGGUUAACCGAAUAGGGGAGCCGAAGGGAAACCGAGUCUUAACUGGGCGUUAAGUUGCAGGGUAUAGACCCGAAACCCGGUGAUCUAGCCAUGGGCAGGUUGAAGGUUGGGUAACACUAACUGGAGGACCGAACCGACUAAUGUUGAAAAAUUAGCGGAUGACUUGUGGCUGGGGGUGAAAGGCCAAUCAAACCGGGAGAUAGCUGGUUCUCCCCGAAAGCUAUUUAGGUAGCGCCUCGUGAAUUCAUCUCCGGGGGUAGAGCACUGUUUCGGCAAGGGGGUCAUCCCGACUUACCAACCCGAUGCAAACUGCGAAUACCGGAGAAUGUUAUCACGGGAGACACACGGCGGGUGCUAACGUCCGUCGUGAAGAGGGAAACAACCCAGACCGCCAGCUAAGGUCCCAAAGUCAUGGUUAAGUGGGAAACGAUGUGGGAAGGCCCAGACAGCCAGGAUGUUGGCUUAGAAGCAGCCAUCAUUUAAAGAAAGCGUAAUAGCUCACUGGUCGAGUCGGCCUGCGCGGAAGAUGUAACGGGGCUAAACCAUGCACCGAAGCUGCGGCAGCGACGCUGAUGCGUUGUUGGGUAGGGGAGCGUUCUGUAAGCCUGUGAAGGUGUGCUGUGAGGCAUGCUGGAGGUAUCAGAAGUGCGAAUGCUGACAUAAGUAACGAUAAAGCGGGUGAAAAGCCCGCUCGCCGGAAGACCAAGGGUUCCUGUCCAACGUUAAUCGGGGCAGGGUGAGUCGACCCCUAAGGCGAGGCCGAAAGGCGUAGUCGAUGGGAAACAGGUUAAUAUUCCUGUACUUGGUGUUACUGCGAAGGGGGGACGGAGAAGGCUAUGUUGGCCGGGCGACGGUUGUCCCGGUUUAAGCGUGUAGGCUGGUUUUCCAGGCAAAUCCGGAAAAUCAAGGCUGAGGCGUGAUGACGAGGCACUACGGUGCUGAAGCAACAAAUGCCCUGCUUCCAGGAAAAGCCUCUAAGCAUCAGGUAACAUCAAAUCGUACCCCAAACCGACACAGGUGGUCAGGUAGAGAAUACCAAGGCGCUUGAGAGAACUCGGGUGAAGGAACUAGGCAAAAUGGUGCCGUAACUUCGGGAGAAGGCACGCUGAUAUGUAGGUGAAGUCCCUCGCGGAUGGAGCUGAAAUCAGUCGAAGAUACCAGCUGGCUGCAACUGUUUAUUAAAAACACAGCACUGUGCAAACACGAAAGUGGACGUAUACGGUGUGACGCCUGCCCGGUGCCGGAAGGUUAAUUGAUGGGGUUAGCGCAAGCGAAGCUCUUGAUCGAAGCCCCGGUAAACGGCGGCCGUAACUAUAACGGUCCUAAGGUAGCGAAAUUCCUUGUCGGGUAAGUUCCGACCUGCACGAAUGGCGUAAUGAUGGCCAGGCUGUCUCCACCCGAGACUCAGUGAAAUUGAACUCGCUGUGAAGAUGCAGUGUACCCGCGGCAAGACGGAAAGACCCCGUGAACCUUUACUAUAGCUUGACACUGAACAUUGAGCCUUGAUGUGUAGGAUAGGUGGGAGGCUUUGAAGUGUGGACGCCAGUCUGCAUGGAGCCGACCUUGAAAUACCACCCUUUAAUGUUUGAUGUUCUAACGUGGACCCGUGAUCCGGGUUGCGGACAGUGUCUGGUGGGUAGUUUGACUGGGGCGGUCUCCUCCUAAAGAGUAACGGAGGAGCACGAAGGUUGGCUAAUCCUGGUCGGACAUCAGGAGGUUAGUGCAAUGGCAUAAGCCAGCUUGACUGCGAGCGUGACGGCGCGAGCAGGUGCGAAAGCAGGUCAUAGUGAUCCGGUGGUUCUGAAUGGAAGGGCCAUCGCUCAACGGAUAAAAGGUACUCCGGGGAUAACAGGCUGAUACCGCCCAAGAGUUCAUAUCGACGGCGGUGUUUGGCACCUCGAUGUCGGCUCAUCACAUCCUGGGGCUGAAGUAGGUCCCAAGGGUAUGGCUGUUCGCCAUUUAAAGUGGUACGCGAGCUGGGUUUAGAACGUCGUGAGACAGUUCGGUCCCUAUCUGCCGUGGGCGCUGGAGAACUGAGGGGGGCUGCUCCUAGUACGAGAGGACCGGAGUGGACGCAUCACUGGUGUUCGGGUUGUCAUGCCAAUGGCACUGCCCGGUAGCUAAAUGCGGAAGAGAUAAGUGCUGAAAGCAUCUAAGCACGAAACUUGCCCCGAGAUGAGUUCUCCCUGACUCCUUGAGAGUCCUGAAGGAACGUUGAAGACGACGACGUUGAUAGGCCGGGUGUGUAAGCGCAGCGAUGCGUUGAGCUAACCGGUACUAAUGAACCGUGAGGCUUAACC